Molecule: unclassified non-coding RNA, 378 nt
Filed under: plant metagenome
Description: partial contains 5.8S ribosomal RNA, internal transcribed spacer 2, and large subunit ribosomal RNA
Rfam family: 5.8S ribosomal RNA (bases 1-105)
Source: RNAcentral
GAAAUGCGAUAAGUAAUGUGAAUUGCAGAAUUCAGUGAAUCAUCGAAUCUUUGAACGCACCUUGCGCUCCUUGGUAUUCCUUGGAGCAUGCCUGUUUGAGUAUCAUGAAAUCUUCAAAGUAAAUCUUUUGUUAACUCAAUUGGUUUCUACUUUGGUAUUGGAGGUCUUUGCAGCUUCACACCUGCUCCUCUUUGUUCAUUAGCUGGAUCUCAGUGUUAUGCUGGGUUCCACUCGGCGUGAUAAGUUAUCUAUCGCUGAGGACACUGUAAAAGGUGGCCAAGGUAAAUGCAGAUGAACCGCUUCUAAUAGUCCAUUGACUUGGACAAUACUUUUAUGAUCUGAUCUCAAAUCAGGUAGGACUACCCGCUGAACUUAAGC